UUGAAAAUUUUGAAAACGUCAACUUGCAGACUUGAAGAAUUUGAAGACUUCAACUUGCAGACUUGGAGAAUUUGAAGAAUUCAACU
RNAcentral lists this microRNA precursor (86 nucleotides) under Solanum tuberosum (potato). Its description in RNAcentral is "MIR8024 microRNA precursor family". It matches the Rfam family "MIR8024 microRNA precursor family". Lineage: Eukaryota; Viridiplantae; Streptophyta; Magnoliopsida; Solanales; Solanaceae. The record is from Rfam by way of RNAcentral.